GUGCCUUUCUCUGUGCCGGAGUCCUGUGUCUCCCAAGGCUUCUGUAUAUGGUUAUUUGGCAGCUAAUUCUAGAUUUGGAUCAUUGCCCAAAGUUGCACUUGCUGGUCUCUUGGGAUUUGGCCUUGGAAAGGUAUCAUACAUAGGAGUAUGCCAGAGUAAAUUCCAUUUUUUUGAAGAUCAGCUCCGUGGGGCUGGUUUUGGUCCACAGCAUAACAGG
RNAcentral lists this small RNA (217 nucleotides) under Pan troglodytes (chimpanzee). Its description in RNAcentral is "processed transcript". Lineage: Eukaryota; Metazoa; Chordata; Mammalia; Primates; Hominidae. The record is from RNAcentral.